This is a non-coding RNA of Sphenostylis stenocarpa, 83 nucleotides long. The record is from the annotation of a GenBank genome assembly. NCBI's taxonomy places the organism in Eukaryota, Viridiplantae, Streptophyta, Magnoliopsida, Fabales, Fabaceae.
GACAGUUUGGUCGAGUGGUCUAAGGCGUCAGAUUUAGGUUUUGGUGUUAAAGGGCAUGGGUUGAAAUCCUAACAUAGAUGUUA